Molecule: long non-coding RNA, 1565 nt
Filed under: Volvox carteri
Lineage: Eukaryota; Viridiplantae; Chlorophyta; Chlorophyceae; Chlamydomonadales; Volvocaceae
Description: long non-coding RNA (VCAR_LNC001302)
Source: RNAcentral
GCACACGAAGAGCCGCGGCAGAAUUGACUUGCCGGGCUCGUAGUUUCCGGUGCAAUUCCAGGUAAACGGUUGCCGGAUUGAGACGCCAGCGGCCUCUAGCGCGGCGGUGAAGUUUGAAAUAAUGAUGCUUGAUGUCCGACUGCAGUUCUCGGGGCUGGAGAAGAAGGUGUUGACAGGCCUGGCGAUGUUGGAUGGGGGCUGAAUCGUAAUGACAGCGCAGGUGCGACAGAUGGGUGUCGGCGGGGGUGGGGGUGGGGGAGGUGGAGGUGGAGGGGUCGGGGGAGAUAGGGGGAGGGGGCGGGGGAGGUGGAGGGGGAGGUGGAGGGGGAGGGGGCGGCACCAUCGGUGACGGUGGCUCGGGCGACAGCGGCGCCGGUGGUGGGAGCGGUGCCACCGUACAGACUGGGCAGCAUCGACUGGCGUUAUGGCUGUCAAAUACAGCGUACCUGCGAGCAAACAGGUAAGCAGGUGCACAACGGUGUCACGCACCAGCACAAACCAGCACCGGGCCGUCCCCAGCUAGGCGAGCUCGACCCGUGCAAGCCUCUCUCCGUACUCACUUGCACGUUCCUGUCGUGGUGCCGCACAGCUGCUGGAUGCUGGCGCAGGGCUCCUUGGUUGUCAUGCAGAUGGAAGUGCCGGGAAACGUGGUGGCAUUGAAUUGCAUGUCGUAGAUACGGACAUCGUAUCCGAACAUUACCGUACCUGCAAGACGGGAGACGGAAGUGCGUGGGUACUUGGUCCCCUUGCGGAGUGGUCCAGAAAUGCGUCGCGGAAUAUUCUCCCCGACCUACCUAGCUCUAGGUCCAUAUGGACAUACGCUAGCCAUAGGUAAGGAACCUUGUCCUGUUACAGCCCGGAAAUAGGGGCGCUUGCGUACCGUUUGUAUCCGUUCCCCGCUUCGCCGUCCACCGUGGACACGGUGGACCAGCUGGACCACUUGCGGCCGUUGAUCUCCACCUGACUCGUGACCGGCUUCAAACAUCUCGCACCUGUGCGCGUGCAUGCGUUUCGUGCAUAGUUACAUGCAUACGUGCGCACGCAUCAGGCCCGUAGUAGGAAUCGGCCAAACCAUGUCGUCCAAGUGUGCACGCGGAAUGCGGAUGGCGGAUUCAUGGUUUUAUCCCUUUCCUUGCCCUUGCCCAUCCACCAACUCCCUGGCUACACAAACACGCUGGCACCACCGCGUCCAGUCCCCAGCCCGUGAACAGCUGUCCACGUACCAACGGAAAAGGAUAUCUUGUGCACGUUGCGUUGCAACGCCGCACAGCACGUCGUGUUCGUGGUGCAACCCACAUGUCGAACCAUGAAGCAGUGCCUCGUGCCGGCCAUUACCUGCAGCAGGCGAACAAGCGCGUGGUGCGCAGGCGAAGGGGUCGCAAACACAUGGUCUUGAGCCGCCAACAAACGUAGAAGGACGGCUGAGCUUGCGAGUGAAAGAUGGAUCCCACCUCAAACAAGCAACUACGUGAGCUGGAGGCAGCCGCGUUCAAGCAGUGGAGUCAUGGUGCCUGGCAUGCAACACGAAAGGCAAAUGUUGGGAGGGCUCUAUCUGGACCACUCAC